AAGCUGCAGCGCUGUACACGCGCAUGCAUGGGAGCACGUGACCCGGCUCCAGUGCAGCGGCGGUGGCGCGCGUGCGCGUCCCCGUUGCUUUCGCGCGUUGGCGGCGGCGGUGGUGGCGGCGCGGGCACAGUCCUACAGGAAGGUAUGAAGGAGAGUGUUGCUGCAGAUACUAAGAAUUUCUUGGAAGAGAAGAAACCAAACACAAAAACCACUGCUGUUUGAUACGUGAUCUUGGUUCAUAAAUUUCUGACAACUUAUAUCAAAAUUGCUAUGGAGGAUUUCAACUGACAACUGCUUUUUAUGAACCACUACUUAAAGGUAGGUUUUAUUCACCACUUUCAUUCUCUGGAAGUCUCCAUCUAGAACACAAUACUCAUGACCAUUUGCUGCUUCACUUUCUUCGAUUUGACUAUGCUGCAUUUUAAGCAGGUUUGCACAUUUGAGUGCUGAUGUUCAUUAUCAGUGAAUUUUACUUCUUCAUGUAGUUCUUGUGCUUUGACAAACGUUUUAUGGUUGUGGCGCAUAUGGCUGGUGCUGCAUGCCCUCGAGGAGCCCUUUGCUGGUGCUGUUCUAGACCCAUGAUGUUAUGCAAACCCCAUUACGCACUGUUGUUCAGAUUGCAGCUUCUCCCUCUCCACCCCCCCGCUCAUUUUUCCAUGACCUUCCCUUUGUCUGCUGCCUGUCACUAGGCAGGAUUCAGGCAGCUCCAUGCUGAUUGGCUUCUCUUUCUGAGCAGCUCAUGGGCUGCUUACCUGAGCACAUGAUCAUAGGCUGAUACAUACCAGCUAAUACAAUCCUUUCUUGCUUUAGAACUGUGGUCUCUUUACAGAGUAAGAAUAAUAAAAAAAUACAGAAAUAGAGGAGAAGAUGUAGC
Molecule: long non-coding RNA, 874 nt
Filed under: Junco hyemalis (dark-eyed junco)
Lineage: Eukaryota; Metazoa; Chordata; Aves; Passeriformes; Passerellidae
Description: lncRNA (ENSJHYG00000013399.1)
Source: RNAcentral